UUUCUUUCUUCUUAGCAGCAUGGAAGUUCCCAGUCUAGGGGUCAAAUCAGAGCUUGCAGCGGUUGGCCUACACCACAGCCAUGGCAACGCUGGAUCCGAGCCACCUCUGCUACCUAUGCUGCAGCUUGAGGCAGUGCCGGAUCCUUAACCCAGAGUCAGUCCAGAGAUCAAACCCACAUCCUCAAGGAUGGGUUCUUAAUAACCCUCUAAGUCACAUCACGAACCCCUGAAAUAAUUUAUAUUUUCUUACUGCCACUGCAGUGUUGGGUUCUUAACCCUCUAAGUCACAUCGUGAACCCCUGAAAUAAUUUAUAUUUUCUUACUGCCACUGCUUUCUGUGGUCCUCCCAACAUCUGGGGGGCUCUUUUAUGAGGUGAGUGUUUUGGGGGGCGGUGUCCUGGGAACCUAGCCAUCCUCUAGGAUACAUGAUGCUCUGUAGGGCAGGAAGGAGAGUGACGUUAGCGACUCCUGGGAAGCUCUUUGUAGUUAAAAAGGAAGACGGUGUCAAGAGGAAUUCUUGUGCUUCUAGCCACAGCUUCCUGGCUUAUGAUCUACUCCGGCAAGAAUUAAUUUUAAAAAAUGAUGGAUAAAUAAAUAUAAUAUAUCCAUACAGUGGCAGGUUCUUUGACUACAAUAAGGAAUGAAGGACUGGCUCAUGGUACAAUGUGGGGAGGGGGACGAGCCUUAAAAACUUUAUGCUAAGAAGGCAAACCUCAAAGAUCACAUAGAGUGUGAAUUCACUUUAUAGGGAAUAUCCAGAAGAGGCAAAUCUAUGGAGACAGAGAAUAGAGACAGUGGUUGCUUAGGGCUGGAGAAAACAGGUAACAGGUUCAGGCUUAUUUUGUGUGGGGGGGGGGUCAAGUGUGCUCUGCCACUAAAAACCACUAUAUUGCUUACUUUAAAUGGGUGAAUUGUAUGGCAUCUGAGUUAUAUCUCAAUAAAGCUGUUUAAAAAAAAAAAAAAAACAGAAUCAAGCAAAGCAAUUGAGGGAAUAUUUCUCUUUUUCCUGUGCUCCAGAGAGAGCUUUCUCCACUCCCCUGGCUUGAUGCUGGGCUGAUAAUCCCAUAAAUAUACUGGGAUGUUUAUAACACAGGGAUUUGUAAUUUAGACAAUACUAGUAUACAUCUCUUAAGAGAAAGCAUCUUUUGUAAAUUAUUACCCAAUAAAGCUAUCAUCGAGCAGUGUUCAUUCAUUCCUUCAUUGAUUCACUCAUUCGCUUCUCCGACAAACUUUUCCAGCCCACCCAUUCCGCACCAGAUAGCCAAGUUCCCAGCAGGAAGCCAUGUUCAGAGGAGGAAGCAGAUCCUAACAGGGCACCAGGCAAUCAAGUUCACAUCUGGGAGCCAGGUUAUCACCAGGGAAUCAGGUUCACACCAGCGAAUGAGAGUCUCACCAAGGAGCCAAGUUCACCGUAGGGAGCCAGGUUCAGAAAAGACCUUGGAGGAGUUCCCGUUGUGGCUCAGGGGUUAACAAAUCCGACUAGGAACCAUGGGGUUACAGGUUCGAUCCCUGGCCUUGCUCAGUGGGUUAAGGAUCCAGCGUUGCCGUGGGCUGUGGUGUAGGUCGCAGAUGCAGCUCAGAUCCCGCGUUGUGGUGGCUGGUGGCUACAGCUCCGAUUAGACCCCUAGCCUGGGAACCUCCAUAUGCUGUGGCAGCGGCCCUAGAAGAGGCAGAAAAAACAAGAAAGAAAGAAAGAAAAGACCUUGGAUGCGCUCACAGCUCUUCAGGGCCCUACAUCACAUCCCAACCUGCAUCUCACAGAACUAACCCAAAAUAAUACUGAAUGGUCCUUCCCCCCCGCCCCCAAAUGUUUGCUCGGGAGUUCUCUUGUGGCGCAGUGGGUUAAGAAUCCAGUGGUGUCACUGCAGCAGCCUGGGUCCCUGGCCCAGGAUCGUCCACCUGCUGCAGGUGCGGCCAAAAUUUUUUUAAAUUAAAAGUAAAUAAGUAAAUGAAUGAUGUUUGCUCUUUGGCAACAGAUUAUUUUUUUAAGAGGAAAGCAAACAAACAUCCAAGCAUCUGAGGUUAUCAACUAAAUCAAUCAGGGGACUUUAUGAAAAGAUUUCCAGCCCAGCUUCAAAGAGGGAAUUCACCUGGUGCAUUUCAAUGUUUGUUUAUAGAAUACUCGGUCCCAGGCAGGACAGCUCGAAGACAAAGAAGCUUAGCACUGAAAUGUUCCAGGCCACCACCCAUCUGAGCCCUCUGAGAGAUGAAGAGACGGUGUUCCUGAAAAGGUGAUUUAAGUGAGGGGCAGUGCCCCAAAUCCUACUGGGGGUCUCCUCUGUGCUAGAUGUGCGCUGGCACCAAGGUGGGGCUGGGGUCACCCACGAUGGAGACCUAGGCUCUGCCUUGGAGGAUCAGAGUUUGCAGGGAGAAGACACAUCAAGGGGCAAAAAGAUGCUGGUCGCACAACAUUGGAUUUUUGCGUGUAACAUUCUAAGGGUGGGGUCUGGGUAUUUCUUUUUAUUUUUUUCAAUUAAAAAAUUUACCAGGGGGGCUCUGUUCCCAUUGUGGCACAGCAGGAACAAAUCCAACUAGUAUCCAUGAGGGUGCAGGUUCGAUCCGUGGCCUUGCUCAGUGGGUUAGGGAUCCGGCAUUGCCGUGAGCUGUGGUGUAGGCCAGCAGCUGUAGCUCUGAUUCGACCCCUAGCCUGAGAACUUACAUAUGCCGAGAGUGCGGCCCUAGAAGAGCAAAAAAUCAUGGGGAUUAAAUGAACCAGUGCUUUUUAGGCUGCACCUGAGGCAUAUGGAAAUUUCCAGGCUAGGGGUCAUAGCCACAGCCACAGCCACGUCAGAUCCGAGCUGCAUCUGUAGCCUACACCAUAGCUCACUGGCAAUGCUGGGUCCUUAACCCACUGAGCAGGGCCAGGGAUCAAAUCUUUGUCCUCAUGGAUGCUACUCAGGUUUGAUACCGUUGGCUGAGCCGCAAUGGGAACUCAUCCGGGUAUUUCUGCAGGCACCUCUGUUUCAUUUCUUUUCAAGGAUUUUACUAAUAGACCAGCUUCUUGGAUAGAACUUCUGAUUUGAUUAUACGAGGCUCAGACACAUUGUCUCAAUAUGGAAAAUGACUCCAAAUGCGAGCCAAGAACAUGGGGGUCAGGUGCUGUGCCUUUAAACUUGGCAAAAUCCUACCAUAAAAAUCAACGGGGUUGUGUUGGCACUGGAGUCCCCCCUCUGCUUAAUGUUAAUUAUUAUGCUCUUGCUUUCUGGGUCCUGAAUUAUUCAUGAGGCCAGAUAAAAAAUGCAAGGGUGAUUGGCAGUCUCCAGCUGUGGCAUCUGAAUGUGCAGAUGUGGCAUCUGUUUCCAGGGAGCAUGGACUGGAGUAAGGAAUCGGGGGUUCUCAGGGUUUGGGGGGAGCAGGAGGUGGCGGGGAGGGGAAGAGGGAGGCCAGAGAAGUGAGGCCAGUGGGAGAAAGGUAAAGGGAUGCUGCUUUCAGAGAAGGUGGUUGUGAGCUGAACAAAGAGGGGGGCUAACGUGUGGGGAGCAAGAGAAUGGACCCAACUGGAAGGAAGUGCUGGAGGAAGGUGCAAUGAAUGAAGGAAUGAAGGAAUGAAUGCAUUCCACCCUUGAAGGGAGGAGGGGAGGAAGUCGGCUUUGGCGUGGUGCUGCCUUCUAGACAUUUUAUUUACCAUGCGGUGAGGCUAGGAGGAUGUGGACACACACCGGUUCAUUUAAUCCCCACGACUCUCUGAUGUGGGUGUUAGUACGGCUGCUUUGCAGUGCUGGAAGCUGAGGCCAGGGCCGUCGCUUGGCUAGUCGGGGGACUUCAGGUCCAUAUCCACGGGCCAGAUGCUGAUUUAGGGGACAGCGGGCAUCCCUGUGAGCAUCAGGUGCUGUUUGGGAGGGGCCUCGGGAGGAGGAAGAGCUGGGCAGGGGGCCCGGGUCUGAUGGGGACCUGAUGGCCACUUCUGGUCCCCUCCAUCUAAAGCACCCCGGCUGCUCUUGGCCGGGCCUGGCAUAGAAAAGGCACCUCCUGAGUGUAAAUGGUCAGCCUCUCCUGGAGGGCAGCUUGGCACGCUCCAUAGAAAUGCCAAACGCCUAACACCUUCGCCUGGCCAGCCCUCGGGGAGUACUGCGCAUGAAGAAAAUGACUCGCAUAUUGUGGCGAUGGUUGUUACAGCAAGAAAACAAAAAUGAUCCAAGCGUCCACCAAGCUGCGAUGAAACACAGGGCUCUGUACAGAGCGGCCGCGGUCAGAAGUCAGGAUGUCGAUUCCUGAUCUGCCACUUACUUGUCUGGGUGAUCUGAGCCUGGGCCUCACCUUUCCCUGCCUCGCUUUUCUCAUCUGUAAAGUGGGGAUGCUACCACUACUCAUAGGGUUCUCCCAGGAUUCCAGGAAUUGAGAUGGGUCAAGAGCUUAGAACAUGACUGGCAGAGAGUCAGGAGUUAACAAACCUUGGUAAUUAACAGUACUCCAUAAAUAUGCACUCAUCAGUAAGACUCUCUCUUACCACCGCCCCCUGCCACAGCCCUCUGAGACUCGAGCCUUUCUCUCUCUGCCCAGGUGGCCAUCUAGCGGGUUCUGGUUCUAAGGAACAGCGGACCUCAUGGAGCUUAGGGGCUGGGACUGUGUGCAAUGCUAAAACCAGAAAGGGAAAAGAGUUUCCAACAGAGUAUAUAUAGCUCUGAGCAGCCAGCAGAGGCUUCAGUGGGAGCUGGAUAUGCAUGAACCUGCUCUGGCUCCCAGGGUUAAAGGGACACUGGCCAUAGCCUUUGGUCUCAGCCAGCAUCAGCCAGGAAAGGUGAGGAGAUAGAGAGAUUUGUGUUCCCUGCCCCUCAAGGAGCAGGGAGAAGGAAUUUCCAUAGCCCUGGUCACUGAUGUGCUUCAAAAACAGCCUCUCUAACGUCAUCGGAGCAGAUUUUUUCUAAUUUUUUCCAUUUAUUUAUCAAGAAUUUUUAGUGAUCCCACCACAUGUCAGGCAGCAUUACAAGAAUACUGGGCACAUAGAGGCAAAUAAAACUUCCUGUCUUUUAAGAACGUGGGGUCAAGGAUCAGAUGAGAAAAUAAAUAACUAUAGGGCAAUCACAAGCUCCAGAGAGAACUUCAUCUACUUUAUCACUGAUUCCUGGCUUCUAUAAAAGUGCUUAGGACAUGGUAAGCUCAAAUGAAUAUUUAUGGCACAAAUAUGCACAACAAUAUAGUCUGUACAAGGCACUGAAUUUGUACACACCGCCUCUGUUUUUAGAGGCAAGAAAGAUAGAAGAUAGAAAAGUGACCUAUGACUAGGGUUUUGGAGGAUGAGUAGGAGUUUGCUAGGUUGACAAGAACUCGCAGUUGAAGGUAUCUAUGACAAAGCCAUGUGGACAGAGAAUACUGCCUGCUAUUUCACUAGCCAAAGGGUGUUGCAGCCAUAAAGCCAUCAGCCACUGCAGCCACCCUGUAACGGUGCACCCUGAGGGGACUGAGGAUGGAGGAAAAACAGGAUAUUGGCCCUAGAGAGCUAAGGCGUCUAUCAAAGGAAUAGCUGCAAUGAGUCCAGACUCUUGCAUCUUCCCAUACAGAGAAAAGGGCUAAAGCCAUUAACCUGAGAUGUCUUGUGUGGGUGUGAGUGUGUGGGGGGGUGAUUAGCAGUAAUUUUUUGAUGUUCAAAUACAUGAAUUUUUUUUUUUCAACAAAAACUCCUCUAUAUGCCGGCUCCCCCGUUACCUCUUUGGAAGGGUUUCUACAAAUCAACUAAGGGGUUGGAUUCCGGGCUAUAGUGCUCAGUCAUGUCUUGACUAAAACAUGAGUCUUAACUUUUAAGUUGGGCAUCUUUUUCAGUCGACAGCUGCAAUGAUCAAUUUUGAGGUCCGUGGAAAACAGUGGGGCACACAGCCUCACAUCAACACAAGCAGAAGAAAGCAGGGCGGAGAGGUUAUGAACGGCUUCCUCCCCGCAAUCCCGGGUCACUCUGGUCAUCUUCUUCAUAACUCUUAUCACAAUGAUACAUAAUCUACUUAUUGGUUUACCCGUUGUCUGAGUCCCUGACUCUCUGGCUCCUAAAACAGUGUCUGGCUCAAGGUCCCUGCUCAAUAAAUCUCCACAGAUAGGAUAUUAAUAAAUGAAGGGAAAGAAAUAAAAAAGAGCAGGCCCUGGGCAAGGUCUCUCUCCCUGUUUGGGCCAGUCUGGGGCAGCACUGUCCAACAGAAAUAGGCAGGGAGGCUCUGCGGUAAUUCCAAAUUUUCUGGAAGCCACGCUUUAACAAAGUAAAAAAAUCCGGAGUUCCCACUGCGGCAUAGUGGGUAAAGAAUCUGACUACAGUGGCUCGGGUUGCGGUGGAGGUGUGGGUUAGAUCUCCAGCCCAGCGCAGCGGGUUACGGAUUUGGCAUUGCUGCGGCUGUGGUGUAGGUUGCAGCUGCAGCUCGGAUUCCGUCCCUGGCCUGGGAACUGCCAUAUG
This 6373-nucleotide long non-coding RNA is filed under the name Sus scrofa (pig). RNAcentral describes it as "lncRNA (ENSSSCG00015037729.1)". The record is from RNAcentral. Lineage: Eukaryota; Metazoa; Chordata; Mammalia; Artiodactyla; Suidae.